RNAcentral lists this ribosomal RNA (217 nucleotides) under uncultured bacterium. Its description in RNAcentral is "partial 16S ribosomal RNA". It matches the Rfam family "Bacterial small subunit ribosomal RNA", at positions 1283 to 1500 of the family's 1533-position model. The record is from RNAcentral.
ACGUCUCAGUUCGGAUUGCAGUCUGCAACUCGACUGCAUGAAGCUGGAAUCGCUAGUAAUCGCGAAUCAGAAUGUCGCGGUGAAUACGUUCCCGGGUCUUGUACACACCGCCCGUCACACCAUGGGAGUCGGGAAUGCCCGAAGUCAGUGACCCAACCGAAAGGGGGAGCUGCCGAAGGCAGGCCUGGUAACUGGGGUGAAGUCGUAACAAGGUACC